ACGGAGGGUGCAAGCGUUGUCCGGAUUUAUUGGGUUUAAAGGGUACGUAGGCGGACUAAUAAGUCAGUGGUGAAAUCUAGCAGCUUAACUGUUAACGUGCCAUUGAUACUGUUGGUCUUGAGUAUAACUGAGGUAGUUGGAAUGCGUAGUGUAGCGGUGAAAUGCUUAGAUAUUACGCAGAACACCUAUUGCGAAGGCAGAUUACUAAGUUAUAACUGACGCUGAGGUACGAAAGCGUGGGGAGCGAACAGG
This 252-nucleotide ribosomal RNA is filed under the name uncultured bacterium. Its description in RNAcentral is "partial 16S ribosomal RNA". It matches the Rfam family "Bacterial small subunit ribosomal RNA", at positions 525 to 776 of the family's 1533-position model. The record is from RNAcentral.